UGGGGAAUCUUGCGCAAUGCGCGAAAGCGUGACGCAGCAACGCCGCGUGGGGGAAGACGGCCUUCGGGUUGUAAACCCCUUUCAGGAGGGACGAAGGGUAGGCGGUGAAUAGCCGUUCUAUUUGACGGUACCUCCACAAGAAGCCCCGGCUAACUACGUGCCAGCAGCCGCGGUAAUACGUAGGGGGCAAGCGUUGUCCGGAAUCAUUGGGCGUAAAGAGCGCGUAGGCGGUCCGGUAAGUCGGUUGUGAAAACUGGGGGCUCAACCCUCAGAGGCCGACCGAUACUGCUGGGCUAGAGUCCGGAAGAGGCGAGUGGAAUUCCUGGUGUAGCGGUGAAAUGCGCAGAUAUCAGGAGGAACACCAAUGGCGAAGGCAGCUCGCUGGGACGGUACUGACGCUGAGGCGCGAAAGCGUGGGGAGCAAACAG
RNAcentral lists this ribosomal RNA (428 nucleotides) under uncultured bacterium. RNAcentral describes it as "bacterial SSU rRNA". It matches the Rfam family "Bacterial small subunit ribosomal RNA", at positions 355 to 775 of the family's 1533-position model. The record is from RNAcentral.